UUACCCCUGGGACGUUAGUGAUCGCCUGGAGUGUUAUUGAGCCAAUACUCCCUAAAAGGGCGACGACUCCAGCGUGCUGGUGUGCAGGCCCGGCUUGGCCGGGAAGCCUGAAGGUGCGCGAGACAUGCCCACCUGGACAUACCAGGUUCAAAACAAACUGGCGACACGGCCUCCCGGGGACUUU
Molecule: non-coding RNA, 184 nt
Filed under: Pseudodesulfovibrio cashew
Lineage: Bacteria; Pseudomonadati; Thermodesulfobacteriota; Desulfovibrionia; Desulfovibrionales; Desulfovibrionaceae
Description: Pseudodesulfovibrio sp. SRB007 6S RNA
Rfam family: 6S / SsrS RNA
About the family: E. coli 6S RNA was the first non coding RNA to be sequenced, but its function was unknown until recently. It consists of 184 nucleotides that fold into an extended hairpin structure with a large single-stranded internal bulge.
Source: RNAcentral